RNAcentral lists this ribosomal RNA (482 nucleotides) under uncultured bacterium. Its description in RNAcentral is "partial 16S ribosomal RNA". It matches the Rfam family "Bacterial small subunit ribosomal RNA", at positions 28 to 507 of the family's 1533-position model. The record is from RNAcentral.
GACGAACGCUGGCGGCGUGCCUAACACAUGCAAGUCGAACGGAACUGUUUUGACAGAUUUCUUCGGAAUGCAUUUGAUUUGGUUUCGUGGCGGACGGGUGAGUAACGCGUGGGUAACCUGCCUUUAAUAGGGGAAUAACUUUCUGAAAAGAAUACUUAUACCGCAUGACAUAUCGGAACCACAUGGUUUUGAUAUCUAAGAUUUUAUCGCUUGAAGAUGGACUCGCGUCCGUUUAGUUAGUUGGUGAGGUAACGGCCCACCAAGACCGCGAUCGGUAGCCGGACUGGGAGGUUGGACGGCCACAUUGGGACUGGGACACGGCCCAGACUCCUACGGGAGGCAGCAGGGGGGGAUAUUGCGCAAUGGGGGCAACGCUGACGCAGCAACGCCGCGGGAAGGAAGAAGGUUUUCAGAUUGGAAACUUCUUUUAUUAAGGACGGAAAAUGACGGUACUUAAUGAAUAAGCGCCGGCUAACUACGUG